RNAcentral lists this ribosomal RNA (926 nucleotides) under uncultured bacterium. RNAcentral's name for it is "bacterial SSU rRNA". It matches the Rfam family "Bacterial small subunit ribosomal RNA", at positions 8 to 916 of the family's 1533-position model. The record is from RNAcentral.
AGAGUUUGAUCCUGGCUCAGGACGAACGCUGGCGGCGUGCCUAAUACAUGCAAGUUGAGCGCUGAAGGUUGGUACUUGUACCGACUGGAUGAGCAGCGAACGGGUGAGUAGCGCGUGGGGAAUCUGCCUUUGAGCGGGGGACAACAUUUGGAAACGAAUGCUAAUACCGCAUAAAAACUUUAAACACAAGUUUUAAGUUUGAAAGAUGCGAUUGCAUCACUCAAAGAUGAUCCCGCGUUGUAUUAGCUAGUUGGUGAGGUAAAGGCUCACCAAGGCGAUGAUACAUAGCCGACCUGAGAGGGUGAUCGGCCACAUUGGGACUGAGACACGGCCCAAACUCCUACGGGAGGCAGCAGUAGGGAAUCUUCGGCAAUGGACGAAAGUCUGACCGAGCAACGCCGCGUGAGUGAAGAAGGUUUUCGGAUCGUAAAACUCUGUUGUUAGAGAAGAAUGUUGAUUAGAGUGGAAAAUUAAUCAAGUGACGGUAUCUAACCAGAAAGGGACGGCUAACUACGUGCCAGCAGCCGCGGUAAUACGUAGGUCCCGAGCGUUGUCCGGAUUUAUUGGGCGUAAAGCGAGCGCAGGUGGUUUAAUAAGUCUGAUGUAAAAGGCAGUGGCUCAACCAUUGUGUGCAUUGGAAACUGUUAGACUUGAGUGCAGUAGAGGAGAGUGGAAUUCCAUGUGUAGCGGUGAAAUGCGUAGAUAUAUGGAGGAACACCGGUGGCGAAAGCGGCUCUCUGGACUGUCACUGACACUGAGGCUCGAAAGCGUGGGUAGCAAACAGGAUUAGAUACCCUGGUAGUCCACGCCGUAAACGAUGAGUGCUAGUUGUUUGGGGCUAUCCAGCCCUAAGUGACGCAGCAAACGCAUUAAGCACUCCGCCUGGGGAGUACGACCGCAAGGUUGAAACUCAAAGGAAUUGACGG